CGUCAUGAAUCAUUUUCGGAAUGUGGAGCUAAAGUUAAUCCUCAUAAUUAUAAAGAAGCAUGUGUUCUGGAUGCGUGUGGCUGUUCGGGUUAUCGUUGUCAUUGUGCGGCUUACAGAGCAUAUGCAAGAGAAUGUACGCGUGUUGGAGCAGAACCUAAAGACUGGUUGCACGCUUCUUGGUGUGAAGGUCCACCACCAAAGUGGCUAAGUCGUCGCCAUAAUGGUUUUGGUCGCUCGACUAAAUCAAAGAAGACAGAUUUGUUAACAUUGGCACCAAUACCUAAGCGAAAUAAUAGUCGUUCUAGGCCACCUCCUCCCAUUCUACAAUAACUUCCCAACAUCGGCGAUACAAUUACUAGUCAAACCUGCCAGUGCGGCAAUGUGAGUAUGUAAACGGAAUGUCGCGUUGAAUUGAACAUGAGAUGUGCUUGUAAGGUGCGAAAGAUUUAGGAAAGAAGAUCUAUUUACAUAAACAGUAUUCAUAAAUCUACUUAUAGUUAAGUGAA
Long non-coding RNA from Melitaea cinxia (Glanville fritillary), 506 nucleotides. RefSeq lists it as uncharacterized. NCBI's taxonomy places the organism in Eukaryota, Metazoa, Arthropoda, Insecta, Lepidoptera, Nymphalidae. The record is from RefSeq and is a predicted model, not a curated record. The transcript is spliced from 2 exons.